Molecule: ribosomal RNA, 243 nt
Filed under: uncultured bacterium
Lineage: Bacteria
Description: partial 16S ribosomal RNA
Rfam family: Bacterial small subunit ribosomal RNA
Source: RNAcentral
GCUAGCGUUGUUCGGAAUUACUGGGCGUCAAGCGCACGUAGGCGGCUUUGUAAGUUAGAGGUGAAAGCCCGGGGCUCAACCCCGGAAUUGCCUUUAAGACUGCAUCGCUUGAAUCCGGGAGAGGUGAGUGGAAUUCCGAGUGUAGAGGUGAAAUUCGUAGAUAUUCGGAAGAACACCAGUGGCGAAGGCGGCUCACUGGACCGGUAUUGACGCUGAGGUGCGAAAGCGUGGGGAGCAAACAGG